Molecule: unclassified non-coding RNA, 352 nt
Filed under: Hevea brasiliensis (rubber tree)
Lineage: Eukaryota; Viridiplantae; Streptophyta; Magnoliopsida; Malpighiales; Euphorbiaceae
Source: RNAcentral
UCUAUAAAGCUUCUCCUAAAUCACAAGGGGAAAAUAAUUGUUCUCUUUGCAAUGCAAUACCAUACAUGUUGGUACAUAGAGUAACAGAGGAAGAAAACAGGUUAGGUAUAGGAAAAUCAUUUCUUGGAUUGGAGAAAAAGGCAAUUCUUGAUGUUAAUCAUUAUGCAGUACAAAAAGAAGUUUACUUGGGAUCAAAAUGUCAAGUUGAAGACAAGCCAAAUCCUUGGCAAUUUUGGAUGAUCAUGCUCAAGAAUGGAAACAUGGAUACUUACGCUGCUAAGUGUCCGAAAAACGGGCUGUUAUCUGGCCCGUACGGGCCUGAUAACAACUUUCCGUGUUUCGGAAAAGGGUG